This 82-nucleotide transfer RNA is filed under the name Blastocladiella sp. RNAcentral's name for it is "tRNA-Leu". It matches the Rfam family "tRNA". Rfam says of the family: Transfer RNA (tRNA) molecules are approximately 80 nucleotides in length. Their secondary structure includes four short double-helical elements and three loops (D, anti-codon, and T loops). The record is from RNAcentral. Lineage: Eukaryota; Fungi; Blastocladiomycota; Blastocladiomycetes; Blastocladiales; Blastocladiaceae.
GUCUACUUGGCGAAAUCGGAAGACGCGUGGUACUUAAAAUACCAUACCGCAAGGUGUACUGGUUCGAUUCCAGUAGUAGACA